Molecule: long non-coding RNA, 655 nt
Filed under: Cicer arietinum (chickpea)
Lineage: Eukaryota; Viridiplantae; Streptophyta; Magnoliopsida; Fabales; Fabaceae
Description: long non-coding RNA (CARI_LNC000467)
Source: RNAcentral
UGUUUGCCGAUGCACAAGACAUAUAUAAUGAGCAACUCUUGGGAGACUUCUAGGAAAAAUAACACAUGAACUAAUCAAAUAACAUCAGAAUGAGUGGGAUGCGGAAACUGUGUAGGUAUGAGACUAUACGGUUGAAGGAAGGCUUAUAAAGAUUAAUAUGUACUACUUACACCAAUAAGAUGCAUCUUCUUUUUAGUGGCCCAUUACAUAAGAACUUCACAGUUAAGCGCGUCUGACAUGGAACACCUCUUUGGAUUGGUGACCUUUAAUUUGGAAGUUUUCCAAAAAGUAUGCGAGUGAGGAUAAAAUAUGCUGAAAAGACUCGUGUUGGUUUAUGGAGACAAUAGGAAAUCCUUAAAGCAGUAUAGAGCGUUACAGGGACUUUUGCAAAUUUCAACGUGUAUUAUUUUAAUCAAUUCCAACGAUCUUCACCUUGAUUGAAAAUGAUACAUCUUCAGCUUCCAUUGUCUAUAUUGAUAAUCAUAAUUCAAAAGAAUUAUCAUACUCCAUCAUAAACGAGUAUACUCCACUUGAAGUUAAACCACUCCAAAAAUAUUUCUACAUGCCAAAAUGAAACUGAAAAUUUACAGUGCAACUUCCAAGUUGGCUUUCUUAACAAUCGACAUAAUCUCAUAGCACAUCUUGCAUCAAUAUC